Molecule: ribosomal RNA, 324 nt
Filed under: uncultured eukaryote
Lineage: Eukaryota
Description: partial 18S ribosomal RNA
Rfam family: Eukaryotic small subunit ribosomal RNA
Source: RNAcentral
CCCUUAGAUGUUCUGGGCCGCACGCGCGCUACACUGAUGCAUUCAACGAGUUUCUUCCUGGUCCGAGAGGAAUGGGUAACCUUUUGAAAGUGCAUCGUGAUAGGGAUAGACUAUUGCAAUUAUUGGUCUUCAACGAGGAAUUCCUAGUAGACGUAGUUCAUCAGACUGCAUCGAUUACGUCCCUGCCCUUUGUACACACCGCCCGUCGCUCCUACCGAUUGAAUGCUCAGGUGAGCCAUUCGGACUUUCAUCAUGCUGGUUUCCAGUUUUGAUGAAGGGAAGUCUUGCGAACCUUACCAUUUAGAGGAAGGAGAAGUCGUAACA